AGAGUUUGAUCAUGGCUCAGAACGAACGUUAGCGGCGCGCCUAACACAUGCAAGUCGUGCGAGAAAGGGCUUCGGCCCCGGUAAAGCGGCGCACGGGUGAGUAACACGUAGAUAACCUACCCUCAGGUGGCGGAUAACCUUCCGAAAGGAGGGCUAAUACGGCAUAAGACCACGACCUCGCAAGAGGAUGGGGCAAAAGCGGGCCUCUGUACACAAGCUCGCGCCAGGGGAUGGGUCUGCGGCCCAUCAGCUAGUUGGUAGGGUAAUGGCCUACCAAGGCUACGACGGGUAGCUGGUCUGAGAGGAUGAUCAGCCACACUGGAACUGAGACACGGUCCAGACUCCUACGGGAGGCAGCAGUGGGGAAUCUUGCGCAAUGGGCGAAAGCCUGACGCAGCGACGCCGCGUGAGUGAUGAAGGCCCUCGGGUUGUAAAGCUCUGUGGAGGGGGACGAAUAAGUCGGAGCGAAUAGCUCCGAUGAUGACGGUACCCCUUUAGCAAGCACCGGCUAACUCUGUGCCAGCAGCCGCGGUAAGACAGAGGGUGCAAACGUUGUUCGGAAUUACUGGGCGUAAAGCGCGUGUAGGCUGCUCGGAAAGUCGGAUGUGAAAGCCCUAGGCUCAACCUAGGAAGUGCAUUCGAAACUUCUGAGCUUGAGUAUCGGAGAGGAAGGCGGAAUUCUCGGUGUAGAGGUGAAAUUCGUAGAUAUCGAGAGGAACACCGGUGGCGAAGGCGGCCUUCUGGACGAUAACUGACGCUGAGACGCGAAAGCGUGGGGAGCAAACAGGAUUAGAUACCCUAGUAGUCC
RNAcentral lists this ribosomal RNA (808 nucleotides) under uncultured bacterium. RNAcentral describes it as "bacterial SSU rRNA". It matches the Rfam family "Bacterial small subunit ribosomal RNA", at positions 8 to 796 of the family's 1533-position model. The record is from RNAcentral.